UGAGGUGGCCUCCCUAUUAAUUGCAGG
This 27-nucleotide non-coding RNA is filed under the name Mus musculus (house mouse). Lineage: Eukaryota; Metazoa; Chordata; Mammalia; Rodentia; Muridae. The record is from RNAcentral.